This 266-nucleotide ribosomal RNA is filed under the name uncultured bacterium. RNAcentral describes it as "partial 16S ribosomal RNA". The record is from RNAcentral.
CUGCUGCCUUCCGUAGGAGUUUGGGCCGUGUCUCAGUCCCAAUGUGGCCGUCCACCCUCUCAGGCCGGCUACUGAUCGUCGCUUUGGUAGGCCGUUACCCUGCCAACUGGCUAAUCAGACGCGGGUCCAUCGCAUACCACCUCGGUUUUUCACACUGGACCAUGCGGUCCCGUGCGCUUAUGCGGUAUUAGCACCUGUUUCCAGGUGUUAUCCCCCGGUAUACGGCAGGUUACCCACGCGUUACUCACCGUCCGCCACUAACUUAA